Molecule: long non-coding RNA, 580 nt
Organism: Eptesicus fuscus (big brown bat)
Lineage: Eukaryota; Metazoa; Chordata; Mammalia; Chiroptera; Vespertilionidae
Exons: 4
Source: RefSeq, a predicted model, not a curated record
GUUCCAGUUUGGAUACUGUGGCUAACAGGAGCAAAGGCUGUGGCAAGGACUGGGAACACAGGAGCGUUGUAGAAAACUCAGCCCCAUGGAGCCCACAGCCAGUGCCAUGUGUGAUGAGGACCAGACCGCCUCGCUCACGUGUGACAACUCAGGCGUGGCAAAGGCCGGCUUCACUGGGGAGGGAGGGCCCACACCCUGAAGCUGACAGAUCUCUGAGUGCUGCUGCUCCCUCCACACCAGCCCCCAGGGCAACGGCGGCUGAGCAGGAGGUGCAUCAGGGAAAAGCUGGGGCCCAGGGCCCUGGGCUCUGAACACGAGAUGGCUCUGGCUGCCUCCUCCUCUCCAGAGAACUAGGAGCUGGCUGCAGGGCAGCCCCCUGCGUGGGACAGAUCAACAUGAGCAAGCGCGGCACUGCGCCCGCACACAGGAGCACCGAGUGUGAGCUGUCACCGGCACGUCAGGCGCUCAUCAAAGGCCAGUUUCGGGCUGUCCAGUCGACAGGGCUCCCGGCCGCACCCUCCCAGCCUCCCAGCCCCUGGCCUCUGCUGCCCUCGGAGAGGAAGCGCAGGAACGAGGGCAC